AUGCCCCGAGCUGCGGAACCCCCCCGGUGCCCUCCCGCCGCCGGAGGCACGGAGCCUCCGUCGCGGAGUCCGGGGCCGCCUCCCGUCGGUGCUCGGCCCCGCUCCGCGCACCACGAAGCGGGAGGGGGCCGGGGGCUGCCGGGGGCUGCCGGCACUCUGCGCUCCUGCCGCCGCUCCCGGCCCGGCCCCUGCCCCGGGCUCGGCCCCCGGAGGGGCGCCCGGUGCCCCCCGCCCGCCCCGGUCCUCUCCCCGCACAGCCCCCCCCGGGCCUGGGGGGCUCGAGGCGGCCCCGGGACCCCGCGCGGGGUCGCAGCGGGCAGCCGAAGGCAAACGCGCGGUGAGCCCCGGCCAGGCUCCGGCCCCGGCCCCGGUGCUGCGGGGGGGCCGCGCUGCGGGCCGUGGUUACCGGACCGGGCUCCAGCAGGACGGCGCGAGGCAAACACGGACCCGUCACCGCCAGCGGCGGCCGGAACGAGAGGGUGGCGGCAGCUCCCGGCCGCCCGGCGGAGGCUCGGCCGGGCCCCGAGGGGAGCAGCCCCGCUCCCGCGGGCAGGAGCGGCCGGCAGCGGGCACCGGAGCCGGGAGGCGGCGGGGCCUCGCCUCCUGCCAGAGCUGGGACGGGGACACCGGGCGGUGCCGAGGGACCCGCUGGGACCGCGGGGGAGCCGGGGGGACCGGCGGGCCCGGCCACCGCGGCUGGGGCCGGGGAAGCAUCCGCGGGGCACCCCCCGGCGGGAGCUGUACCGGCGGAGGCACGGGCGGCCCCAUCCCUCCCCCCCACCGGGGCGGUGCGCGCCCAGCUGCCCCCGCCCGGCCCCGCCGCUCCACCGGCAGGUCCCGGGGUGGUCGGCACCGGGGCGGAGCGGAGCGGAGGAGCCGACACCGGAGACCGACGGCAGCGGCAGGCGCGGGUGCUCGCAGCUCUCGGGCGCUCUCACCGGUGCUGGAGGAGCCUCGCGGCAGAGCCGAGCACCCGGUCCGGGGGCACGGGGCCGCCCCCCCGAUCCCCUCCCCGUGCCAGCGGGAGGAGCGGGGCGGUGGGAAGCGGCUCCUCGCCCGCGGUCCCUCCCCCCGCGCCGGUCCCUCCCCCCCGAGCCGCCACCGCCGCCGUCGUCGCGGCUCCGGCAAAAGUUUUCGCCGGAGCGGCCGAGCGCACCGGUCCCGGUCCCGGUCCCGGCCCCCGCCAGCACCGAGAUGCGCACGGGAUCCGCCGCCAGAGCAGCCCCGACAGGGUCACCCAGGCACCAGGGCCCUCACCCCCAGGGCAGAGGAGCUCCUGAGGGCCAGUAGGAAGCCAGGCCCCCUGCUCCCUAUGCAGCUUGUGGCCCAGCGAAGGGAUGUCCCAGCCACGACUCCUCACCCUCCUGCUGCUGCUGCUCUGCUGCCAGGGCCCCUCCGCCCAGAUCACAGAUUCCCUCUUUGAGAACUGGAAGGCCUACAAGGAGGAAUGUCACCGCAACAUGAGCCGGAUGCCUGCGCCCACGGAGCUGGUCUGUAACCGAACCUUUGACAAGUUCUCCUGCUGGCCCGACGCGCUGCCCAACACCACCAUCAACGUCUCCUGCCCCUGGUUCCUGCCCUGGUACCAGAAAGUGAGGCACAGGUACGUCUUCAAGACUUGCGGGCCGGACGGGGAGUGGGUGACGGGCCCCAAGGGGCAGUCCCUGCGGGAUGCCACCCAGUGCCAGAUCGACGCCGAGGACCUGGAGGCGCAGGAAAAGUUUGCCAAGACCUACGGCAGCUUCAAGGUGAUGUACACGGUGGGCUACUCGGUGUCGCUGUGCGCGCUGCUGCUCGCCCUGGCCGUGCUGCUGGGCUUCAGCAAGCUGCACUGCAUGAGGAACUACAUCCACAUGAACCUCUUCGCCUCCUUCAUCCUGAAGGGCGUCUCCGUGCUGGUCAUCGACGCCCUGCUGAAGACGCACUACAGCGACAAGAUCGAUGACUACAACGUGCGCAUCUGGCUGAGCGACGAGGCUGCCGCAGGCUGCCGGGCGGCCACGGUCUUCAUGCAGUACGGCACCGUGGCCAACUACUGCUGGCUGCUGGUGGAGGGCAUCUACCUGCACAACCUCCUGGUGGUGGCCGUCUUCUCCGAGCGGAGCUACUUCACCCUCUACCUGUGCAUCGGCUGGGGGGCACCCAUGCUAUUUCUCAUCCCCUGGGUCGUUGUGAAGUUCCUCUACGAAAACAUCCAGUGCUGGAGCACCAACAACAACAUGGGCUUCUGGUGGAUCCUCCGCUUCCCCGUGUUCCUGGCCAUCCUGAUCAACUUCUUCAUCUUCAUCCGCAUCAUCCAGAUCCUCAUCUCCAAGCUCCGUGCGCACCAGAUGCGCUACACGGACUACAAGUUCAGGCUGGCCAAGUCCACGCUGACGCUGAUCCCCCUGUUGGGCAUCCAUGAGGUUGUCUUCGCCUUUGUCACGGACGAGCACGCCCAGGGCACCCUGCGCUACGUCAAGCUCUUCUUCGACCUCUUCCUGAGCUCCUUCCAGGGGAUGCUGGUGGCCAUUCUCUACUGCUUCGUCAACAAGGAGGUGCAGUCGGAGCUGCUGAAGAGGUGGCAGCGCUGGAAGCUGGGGAAGGACCUGGCGGAGGAGUACAAGCACACCUACAGCCACGCGCCCAGCGCCCGCAACGGCACCGGCAGCGCCUGCGAGAAGCACCAGCUGGUGAGCGGCUGUGCCAACGGGCUGGGGCGCAGCCCGGCCGCCUCGCGGCCCCCCACCCACUACCUCGAGAGGAGCGGCCACGGCACCGCCGAGCACCUCGCCCUGGGGGACCGGCACCACUGCUAUGAGUUCCCCGAGACCACGGCCGAGAGCCACUUCUGA
Molecule: long non-coding RNA, 2834 nt
Filed under: Anas platyrhynchos platyrhynchos (common mallard)
Lineage: Eukaryota; Metazoa; Chordata; Aves; Anseriformes; Anatidae
Description: lncRNA (ENSAPLG00000023991.1)
Source: RNAcentral